RNAcentral lists this ribosomal RNA (253 nucleotides) under uncultured bacterium. Its description in RNAcentral is "partial 16S ribosomal RNA". It matches the Rfam family "Bacterial small subunit ribosomal RNA", at positions 524 to 776 of the family's 1533-position model. The record is from RNAcentral.
UACGUAGGGCGCAAGCGUUGUUCGGAAUUACUGGGCGUAAAGCGCGCGUAGGCGGACCUGCAAGUCGGGGGUGAAAGCCCGAGGCUCAACCUCGGAACUGCCUUCGAUACUGCGGGUCUCGAGUCCGGGAGAGGUGAGUGGAAUUCCUAGUGUAGAGGUGAAAUUCGUAGAUAUUAGGAAGAACACCAGUGGCGAAGGCGGCUCACUGGCCCGGUACUGACGCUGAGGCGCGAAAGCGUGGGGAGCAAACAGG